CGCCUGGUAGCGGGGGAGUAACUAUUGAAACGAUAGCUAAUACCGCAUAAUAUUGAUUAUUGCAUGAUAAUUGAUUGAAAGAUGCUAUUGCAUCACUACCAGAUGGACCUGCGUUGUAUUAGCUAGUAGGUGAGGUAACGGCUCACCUAGGCGACGAUACAUAGCCGACCUGAGAGGGUGAUCGGCCACACUGGGACUGAGACACGGCCCAG
This 212-nucleotide ribosomal RNA is filed under the name uncultured bacterium. Its description in RNAcentral is "partial 16S ribosomal RNA". It matches the Rfam family "Bacterial small subunit ribosomal RNA", at positions 127 to 334 of the family's 1533-position model. The record is from RNAcentral.